GGUCAUGGCGAAUCGGAGCUCAAGAUAUACACUUCCACUAGCAGAGCUUCUCUCUAGCCCAACCAAUGCGUAUGUGUAUAUAUAUAUUGUAUGUAUAUAUAGAUGGAUAUGUAUGUGAGUGUAUGUUUGGUAUAGAUAUGGUGAGGGAUUGGCGAAUCGUGGAAGAUCGUUCUCAAGUGUGAGAAGGGGGGGUUCGAGGAGAGAGAGAAUGGCUGUCCCUUGCGUUGAAGAGGAGAUUAUAUUUGUCUCCAAGUAGACCAGCCCUGUUGGCAAACUUCAUUUAAGUGGUAUGGCCAAAAACUAAU
RNAcentral lists this long non-coding RNA (305 nucleotides) under Actinidia chinensis (golden kiwifruit). RNAcentral describes it as "long non-coding RNA (ACHI_LNC003876)". The record is from RNAcentral. Lineage: Eukaryota; Viridiplantae; Streptophyta; Magnoliopsida; Ericales; Actinidiaceae.